Molecule: non-coding RNA, 2337 nt
Organism: Peromyscus maniculatus bairdii (prairie deer mouse)
Lineage: Eukaryota; Metazoa; Chordata; Mammalia; Rodentia; Cricetidae
Source: RefSeq, a predicted model, not a curated record
CAUUCAUGUUCUAAACAGAAAGGUGUUUCGGGACUCAGAAACGCUCCCCACAAUAGCUUCCCAGCCCCGGGAGUUCAGGGACACUCGUGACCUUGGGAGAACCAGGAACGGGCAAGAAAGAAGGGGGCUUCACCCACAAGUGCAGGGUCUCUGCGCUCAAGGGCCUCCACCUGUUCCAAGAUGCAAAACACCACCCCAGUGGAGGAAAUGGAGGGGCUUCCAUCCACACCUCCAUGGCUCGUGGGCAUGAACUGCUGAACAAAACCUGGAGCAGGGUGCGCUGGCAUGUUCCUACAGGUCCAGCCCUUGGGACUUGAGGGCAGAGGAUUAGGAGUUCAGGACCAGUUCAGCCACAGGAGGAGUUGGAAGCCAGCCUGAGCCACAUGAGGCCCUUUCUCAAGUCCUCCAAACCAAACAAGCGCAGGACUUCGGGAGUGUCUACACCAGCACUGAAGAUCUGGAUGUGCAAAACAUCUUUGGCAUGGAUGGCUGCCCACAUGCAGGGAGAGCAAACAGCCCAAGAACAAAGACGGGACUUCUAAGACCAGCCUCGACUGUACCAAUGCAGUCCCCUGGCCCAGUCACCUGGGCCAGAAAUUCUGUGGGCAGGAUGGAAAUUGCCCACCCUGUCUGGCAGCCUUACCCCUGAUAUUUCAAAGAAAGCAACGGUCCCACCUUGAACCCCACGUUGACUACCUCAGCUGCAGAACUGUUUUAGGUUUCUGAGACACCGCUGCUGUUGCCUAGCACCUCGAGCAGUCAAAAGACUUUGCAUUCACUGCCUGAACCAACACUGGAUCUGUCACAUCGUCGCAGCAUUAACACUGGUAUGAGAGAACCCACCCACUGCCGCAGGAGAAACCUUGUAUCUCACAGUUUCAUGCCAUUACUUAUCCGAUCCCACAGAUGCCUAUCUCAGAGAAUUCAACAUGUAUGAGUUACUUCUCCAGUGCUGUGAGUAAACACAUGACCAAGGCGACUUAUGGAAGGAAAGGUUGAUUUGAGUUCCAUAGGGAUAAAAGUCCAUCACCAUCAUGCCAGGGAGUGAUGCGGAACGCAAGCGUGGCAACUGGAACUUCAAGCUGAGGGUUUAUAUCUCCAUCCACUGAUUGCUUCCAUCAAGCUAUCUGUCUACCCUUAUGUGAUUACCAUGCUGUUCAUGUGCCUGCCAGCCAGAUUGAUUCAGCAGACCUUCACAACAAUCCUGAGAACCGGUCAAGACUGCCAUCGUCACCCCAAUUUACAGAAAACACAGGGAGAGACACUGCUUCUACAAAAUCACAUAGCACUUGGAGGCAGAUCCAUGAUGUAAUGUCUGCCUCCCUGCAUGGUCACCUUCCAGAAUUUGGGAAGCAAAUAAGAUUUCUGGGGGUUCUACUCAACCCGGAAACAACCGUUUAAUCAGUCACUUGCCCGUCCCUUUUUAUAACCACAGCUCCAUUUUCAGGCAUCAGAGAGGUUGUCUUAUAUAACUCUGUCAUUUUAUUGACGAAGAAACUGAGGCUGAGUGAGAGGGAGUGGCCUGUCCAAGGUCUCAAAGAUAAGAUUAGAAAUCUCUGUGACACCGGGACCAGAGCCAAGCUCUUCCAACUGGAGGCAGGAUUUCGGGGUCUCUAUACAGCCAGGGACAACAGAAGAGAAAGUACACCUGUGCCUGCCUCUCUUUCUGUUCCUCGGAUGUAAACACAUCUGCAGGUGCACAAACAAGACCCAGGGCCGCGAAGCCAGGUGCUUGCUCACCACAGACAGAAGCCUCGUAACUAUGGUGACCUCUUCCUGUCCACAACCUCUGGUUUAUGCCAGCCAGAGUAGCCAGAAACUCAGCAUGGCCCCGGGGCACUGAGACAAAAGAGCACAGGAUAAUUUCCAAGGAAACGACUUGAAGUGUGUAACUCAGUACAGACCCUGGGGCAGGAAAGGGGAAAGCCCUGAGCUCAGGUUGCAAGUAUGACAUCAGAGUAUCCAUCCCCACUCAACUUCCUGGAAUGAGAGGGCAGUCCAGAAACCCAGAGGACGAGUCCAGAGGCCAAAAACCCCGGAGGAAAUCAAGUUUCCUUCUUUCUUGUUUUGGUGUGUGUGUGUGAUGUAUGUGGGUAUGGACAUGUGUGCAUGCAGGUGCAUAUACAAGUGAGUGCACAUGUGUGUUCCAACAUGUGAACGCCUGAAGACAUAGUGUGUCUUUCUCAGUCACUCUCACUUUGUUUUUGAGACAAAAUCACGGAAUCUAGAGCUCACCUAUUACACUACACUGGUACCAAUCUCCAGUGGCCCACCCAUCGCCUCCCCACCCAGCUGUGGGUGCUGAUGAUCCAAAGUCAGGCACUUUCACCAAAUGGA